CCUACGGGGGGCUGCAGUGGGGAAUAUUGGACAAUUGGGGCAACCCUGAUCCAGCCAUGCCGCGUGUGUGAAGAAGGCCCUCGGGUUGUAAAGCACUUUCAGUGAGGAAGAACGCCUGGUGGUUAAUACCCAUCAGGAAAGACAUCACUCACAGAAGAAGCACCGGCUAACUCCGUGCCAGCAGCCGCGGUAAUACGGAGGGUGCGAGCGUUAAUCGGAAUUACUGGGCGUAAAGCGCGCGUAGGUGGCUUGAUAAGCCGGUUGUGAAAGCCCCGGGCUCAACCUGGGAACGGCAUCCGGAACUGUCAAGCUAGAGUGCAGGAGAGGAAGGUAGAAUUCCCGGUGUAGCGGUGAAAUGCGUAGAGAUCGGGAGGAAUACCAGUGGCGAAGGCGGCCUUCUGGACUGACACUGACACUGAGGUGCGAAAGCGUGGGUAGCAAACAGGAUUAGAUACCCUAGUAGUC
Molecule: ribosomal RNA, 465 nt
Filed under: Vreelandella stevensii
Lineage: Bacteria; Pseudomonadati; Pseudomonadota; Gammaproteobacteria; Oceanospirillales; Halomonadaceae
Description: partial 16S ribosomal RNA
Rfam family: Bacterial small subunit ribosomal RNA
Source: RNAcentral